This 812-nucleotide ribosomal RNA is filed under the name Diplolaimelloides meyli. Its description in RNAcentral is "SSU rRNA". It matches the Rfam family "Eukaryotic small subunit ribosomal RNA", at positions 109 to 956 of the family's 1831-position model. The record is from RNAcentral. Lineage: Eukaryota; Metazoa; Nematoda; Chromadorea; Monhysterida; Monhysteridae.
GCCGUUGUUUCUUGGAUCUCUUCUCUACUUGGAUAACUGUGGUAAUUCUAGAGCUAAUACAUGCANCUAAUCCCCGAUCGCAAGUGACGGGAGCACUUAUUAGACCAAAGCCAUCCGGCUUCGGCCGUACUUUGGUGACUCUGGAUAACAUCGCAGAUCGCAUGGGCUCGUCCCGGCGACAAAUCUUUCAAGUGUCUGCCUUAUCAACUUUCGAUGGUAGUUUCUGUGACUACCAUGGUUGUGACGGGUAACGGAGGAUCAGGGUCUGACUCCGGAGAGGGAGCCUGAGAAACGGCUACCACUUCUAAGGAAGGCAGCAGGCGCGCAAAUUACCCAUUCUCAGAACGAGGAGGUAGUGAAGAAAAUACCAAGAGGAGGCUCAUUGAGNNCCUCAUUGGAAUGAGUACAAUCUAAAUCUUUUAACGAGGAUCUAGUGGAGGGCAAGUCUGGUGCCAGCAGCCGCGGUAAUUCCAGCUCCGCAAGUGUAUUCCUAUACUGUUGCGGUUAAAAGCUCGUAGUUGGAUCUGAGUGCUUAGCGCCUGGUGCAUUCUGCUGCUGGGUGCGGACAUGAUUAGUCAUUGGUUGCUGUGAUGCCUCACGGGUGAUGGCGUGGACUGUUGACAGUUUACUUUGAACAAUCAGAGUGCUCAUACAGGCGUUUGCUUGAAUGGUGUGCAUGGAAAAUAGAAAAGACCUGGGUCUAUUUGUUGGUUUCGGAACAGAGGUAUGAUUAAGAGGGACAGACGGGGCAUUCGUAUUCAGCGUGAGAGGUGAAAUUUUGGAUCGUUGGAGGAACUACUGCGAUUGCCAAA